This 81-nucleotide ribosomal RNA is filed under the name Brevibacillus centrosporus. Its description in RNAcentral is "16S rRNA. Bacterial SSU". It matches the Rfam family "Bacterial small subunit ribosomal RNA", at positions 1 to 79 of the family's 1533-position model. The record is from RNAcentral. Lineage: Bacteria; Bacillati; Bacillota; Bacilli; Caryophanales; Paenibacillaceae.
CUUUAUUGGAGAGUUUGAUCCUGGCUCAGGACGAACGCUGGCGGCGUGCCUAAUACAUGCAAGUCGAGCGAGUCUCUUCGG